ACAACCUUACUUGAACAAGAUCUGUUCUCUAGGCUCGUAUCACUGUAUCUUUGAUUUCUAAGGAGACAGAAAACCAAGUCUGGUGAAUGAUUUGUGGCCAUUAUACCAGAGCGUGAAUAACAUCACCCAUGGCUGUGUUUGGGUCAUGGCCGUAGUAGAUGAUCGUUGUCAGCUCCGACCAUGGUGCACCUGGGAAUAGUAUAAUGGCUGUCUGACAGACU
Molecule: small nucleolar RNA, 221 nt
Organism: Solanum dulcamara
Lineage: Eukaryota; Viridiplantae; Streptophyta; Magnoliopsida; Solanales; Solanaceae
Product: small nucleolar RNA U3
Exons: 1
Source: RefSeq, a predicted model, not a curated record